Bos grunniens (domestic yak) is the source of this 1811-nucleotide long non-coding RNA. The record is from Ensembl. Lineage: Eukaryota; Metazoa; Chordata; Mammalia; Artiodactyla; Bovidae.
AUGCUGGUCAGCAUUAACCAUGUCAGUAUCUUUGCAGUUCAUGUCGGGAUCUUUCUAAUACACGCUUUUCAGGGGAGGAGGGCAGGGAGGUUGUUUAUGGUGUGGCCAUGCAGCUUGGGGAGUCUUGGUUCCCCUAUCAGGGAUCAAACCAAGGUCCUCAGCAGUGAAAACAGAGUCCUAAGCACUGUGUCACCACAGAAUUCCCACAUCUGUGCUUCCAUGAGAUGUGCUGAUACUUUUCCCCUUUGUUGGUGGUGGUGGUGUUCAGUCACUGUCGUGUCCGACUCUUUGUGACCCCACAGACUGCAGCACGCCAGGCCUCCCUGUCCAUCACCAACUCCCAGAGCUUGCUCAGACUUAUGCCCAUCAAGUCGGUGCUGCCAUCCAACCAUUUCAUUCUCUGUCAUCCCCUUCUCCUCCUGCCUUCAGUCUUUCCCAGCAUCAGGGUCUUUUCCAAUGAGUCAGCUUUUUGUAUCGGGUGGCCAAAACAUUAAAACACUUUCAAAAACUUGAGUUCUAUGAACUUUCUAUGAAGUCAAAGAGAGUUGUUAUUCUGUAGUUAACCUCAGGCUUCAGGUAAAACCACUUUACAGCAGCAGAAACCAACAUGACCCUUGCUCUCUGCCAGCUAAUUUGAAGCUCAUCACGACCAGACUCCACACACCUGUCUUUAACACCACGAUGGGAGAAACAAAAGCCCUUUCAUCAUUGUCUCGGCAAUUUCCCGGUUCUUUCUUUAAAAGUAUUCUAAACAAUUAAAUUUUUAAAAACUAAUUUUUUAAAAAAUUUAAACAACCAACUCAAACUGGCAUUUCCCUGGUAGCUCAGUUGGUAAAGAAUCCGUCUGCAAUGCAGGAAACCCCAGUUCGAUUCCUGGGUUGGGAAGAUGCCCUGGGGAAGGGAAAGGCUACCCACGCCAGUAUUCUGGCCUGGAGAAUUCCAUGGACUGUGCAGUCCAUGGGGGUCACAAAGAGUCGGACACGACUGAGUAACUUUCAUUCUUAACUGUACUAGAAGCCCCAAUUUUAUUAUGUUUUGUUAAACAAGUAUUUAUUAAGCACCUUCGUCUAACUGAUUUUUAGAGGAUUGCCGUCGUGGAGAGAAACGCAGCACGCUGUGCUUCCUGACGUCCUGUGACGACCGCAGCCGCCUGACCCCUGGGGACCAGCGUCACCAGCACUUACGCGGCCACCUCUUAGGUCUCUGAGCUUGUUUUUUCUUCUGCCCUUUCACAAUCUCAUGCAAGCUGAGUGUGUCACAAGGAAAUGAGAUAAAGCUCAAGCCAGCCCAUUUUGCUGCUGUGAUGACCAACAGUAACCAUGGCAACGGAAAAACGUUUACUCUUUUGCCUAAAUGAGUUAUGUGAGGGUUUUCGAUUGUUCCUGUUUUGUUUUGCUUUUAAGCCAUGGGAUGUUUUGCAAUGACCAGAACAAACUGUGGUUAAAGGCUUUUGUGAAUAUUCCUGAAAGUGUUUGCGCUUAUAAGCAGUUCAUUGUCAUCCAGCGCUUCCCAAAGCCUGCUUUGUGGAAUGCUAGCCAUCAGGGACAGGGGCAGACGGCAUCCCCGGUCGGAUGAGUUGGGGGUGCUGCCCAUGGGAACCCCUCGGCACCCGGAGCACCCGCGGCCCUGAUCCUGCAGGAGCAACCCCACUGGCUUUGCUUGCUUCCACGCCCCACGCAUCUCUGUCCUGUCUGCGCUGGGCUGGGGCGGGUCAUGGUGAAGGGCCGGGGGGGGUCACAUGGUGAAGGGCCGAGGGGGGGGGGUCAUGGUGAAGGGCCGGGGCGGGGUCACAUGGUGAAGGAAGACGGGUU